UGGGGGAUAUUGCACAAUGGGGGAAACCCUGAUGCAGCGACGCCGCGUGAGUGAAGACGGCCUUCGGGUUGUAAAGCUCUGUCAACGGGGACGAUGAUGACGGUACCCGUGGAGGAAGCCACGGCUAACUACGUGCCAGCAGCCGCGGUAAUACGUAGGUGGCAAGCGUUGUCCGGAAUUACUGGGUGUAAAGGGAGCGUAGGCGGGGAGCCAAGUUGGAUGUGAAAUACCGCAGCUUAACUGCGGGGCUGCAUCCAAAACUGGUUCUCUUGAGUGAAGUAGAGGCAGGCGGAAUUCCUAGUGUAGCGGUGAAAUGCGUAGAUAUUAGGAGGAACACCAGUGGCGAAGGCGGCCUGCUGGGCUUUAACUGACGCUGAGGCUCGAAAGCGUGGGGAGCAAACA
Molecule: ribosomal RNA, 402 nt
Filed under: uncultured bacterium
Lineage: Bacteria
Description: bacterial SSU rRNA
Rfam family: Bacterial small subunit ribosomal RNA
Source: RNAcentral